CCUGCUGACCGACGUGAACUACGUCCGCGAGCCAUAUGACUACCAUAAGGCGAACGCCGAGUACGUGUUCCUCUUCUCGAUGGGCUACUUCAUCUACGAUCUGCUCGACAUGCACAUUCACGGCGAGUUGGAGAGCUCGAAGGAAUAUCUCAUUCAUCAUUCGCUCGUCAUCACCGCCUUCUCGAUCAUUCUGCUCAGCGGUCGCCUGUUCGGACUGGCGAUGAUCGCGUUGCUCGUCGAGAUUCAGACCGUGUUCCUGCACUUGCGGACGAUGGUUCGGUUGCUCUAUGGAUCGAAGCAUAUGCCUGCGUCGAUUGAUGUGCUUAUCAAUGCCAAUAUGAUUUGUUUGUUCUUGUUUAGG
RNAcentral lists this small RNA (361 nucleotides) under Caenorhabditis elegans. Its description in RNAcentral is "Unclassified non-coding RNA Y48G8AL.22". The record is from RNAcentral. Lineage: Eukaryota; Metazoa; Nematoda; Chromadorea; Rhabditida; Rhabditidae.